Vitis riparia (riverbank grape) is the source of this 816-nucleotide long non-coding RNA. RefSeq lists it as uncharacterized. NCBI's taxonomy places the organism in Eukaryota, Viridiplantae, Streptophyta, Magnoliopsida, Vitales, Vitaceae. The transcript has 2 exons. The record is from RefSeq and is a predicted model, not a curated record.
ACGAACAGUCCUCAUUUUUAAUUAUCAAAUCUGAGUGGAGCCGUGCAGCUCCAUUCUAGAUUCCCGUCUCAUCUUUGAAUUAGAGGGCCAAACCAGUUAGGGUCAAGGGUCAAAUUGGCGAGAAGGUAAAGAAACGGGAGUGCAGGGCUGAACGUCUUGGAGCAGGAAACAUUGUUUCAGAUCCAAGCCAAGUGGCAUGUCUACUCAGUACCGAGAUGAAGCACAACUUUCCGGUGAUGCCAGUACUUUCAAACCUGGGGAAACCAAUUAUGGAGUAGAUGAACGUAUUUUUGCAUCCACUUCUCGCUAUAACAUUCUCGCCCUUCUUGCCUGCCUCCAUGCAGCUCUACUUUUCAGUAUUGAUCUGAUGUAUCGGGGAAAAAACGAGUCUAUGUUUGAAGCACACCCCAUAAUCUCCAAGGUUGCUGUUGGUAGUUUACUGGCAUAUGGCUUCACAUAUGGAGUUGAGUUUAGCUUCAUUAAUUGUCUCCCUCUUGCUGGUGCUUGUUUUGUCCGCAGCAGCAUGAUAUAUUUUGGUUCUCUCUCAGUAGCUUCACUUGUAUCAGUAUUGUACCCGAAUUCCGCAGCUGUGCUAUAUACCAUAUGUACCUUGCUUCCAUUUGUAGCACAUGGACUUCUCAGAAGGCUGUGGAGCAAACAGGUUAAGAGAACGCUCUGAUUCAGAGCAACUGUUGAAGGAAAAUGAAAAAUGAAAGAGGAAAGGGAAACAGGGUAGAAAAAACUUGUUUGUUUGUGGGUUAAUGUCUUCGAUGAGAAACAGUUUCUUUUGUUUAAUGGUUUAAGUCAAUGUUUUUA